Molecule: non-coding RNA, 119 nt
Organism: Lupinus angustifolius (narrow-leaved blue lupine)
Lineage: Eukaryota; Viridiplantae; Streptophyta; Magnoliopsida; Fabales; Fabaceae
Source: Rfam
AGGUGCGAUCUUACCAAGACUAAUGCACCAGAUCCCAUCAGAGCUCCGUAGUUAACCAUGUUUGGGCGAGAGUAAUACUAGGAUGGGUGACCUCCUAGGAAGUCCUCGUGUUGCUCCUC